AUGUCUAGGGACCUGCAUGUAAUCCCCAGAGACCUUCAUGGAACCGGAAGUAGACAGAGGGUCCCGCCUUCAAAUGCGUGGCUCCCGCCUAAGCACCAUGAUGUUAAAAUUAAUGUAGAUGCGGGCUUUUCGAAGGUCAGCGACCGCGCAGCUGCAGCAGCGGUAUGCAGGGACAAAGGAGGAAACUAUUUGGGCGCCUCGUCAAUCAUUUACGAUGGCCGCCUCGACCCAACCAUCCUCGAAGCACAGGCAUGCUAUGAGGCACUCUCCCUCGCCUCGGACCUGCAGGUUCAAUCGCUUUGUGUGGCUUCAGACUGCCUGGAGGUAAUAAGGAACAUCCAAGAUGCAGUCCCUUGUCGAUAUUUUUCUAUCCUACAGGAUAUCAAGCAUGAAAGGAGCCAUUUUUUAGAUGUCAAGCUUCUUCAUGAGAAUAGGAAGCACAACGGAGAAGCACAUGCUUUAUCAAAGGCAGCUUCCUCUCUUAGCACUGGGCGCCAUGUGUGGCUUAGUACUUUGCCCGAUAUAAUCUGUAUCCCCAUGUGUUUGAACUUCUAA
Molecule: ribosomal RNA, 555 nt
Filed under: Triticum aestivum (bread wheat)
Lineage: Eukaryota; Viridiplantae; Streptophyta; Magnoliopsida; Poales; Poaceae
Description: partial small subunit ribosomal RNA
Source: RNAcentral